Molecule: transfer RNA, 75 nt
Filed under: Spirobacillus cienkowskii
Lineage: Bacteria; Pseudomonadati; Bdellovibrionota; Oligoflexia; Silvanigrellales
Also listed under: 1 other name
Description: tRNA-Gln
Rfam family: tRNA
About the family: Transfer RNA (tRNA) molecules are approximately 80 nucleotides in length. Their secondary structure includes four short double-helical elements and three loops (D, anti-codon, and T loops). Further hydrogen bonds mediate the characteristic L-shaped molecular structure. tRNAs have two regions of fundamental functional importance: the anti-codon, which is responsible for specific mRNA codon recognition, and the 3' end, to which the tRNAs corresponding amino acid is attached (by aminoacyl-tRNA synthetases). tRNAs cope with the degeneracy of the genetic code in two manners: having more than one tRNA (with a specific anti-codon) for a particular amino acid; and 'wobble' base-pairing, i.e. permitting non-standard base-pairing at the 3rd anti-codon position.
Source: RNAcentral
UGGGGCAUCGACAAGUGGUAAGUCAACGGUUUUUGAUACCGUCACUCCUAGGUUCGAAUCCUAGUGCCCCAGCCA